CGUCCUGUAGCUCAGCGGAAGAGCAGCCCGUUCACACCGGGCCGGUCCCGGGUUCGACUCCUGGCGGGACGAC
Molecule: transfer RNA, 73 nt
Filed under: Amycolatopsis sp. CA-230715
Lineage: Bacteria; Bacillati; Actinomycetota; Actinomycetes; Pseudonocardiales; Pseudonocardiaceae
Description: tRNA-Val
Rfam family: tRNA
About the family: Transfer RNA (tRNA) molecules are approximately 80 nucleotides in length.
Source: RNAcentral